GACGAACGCUGGCGGCGUGCCUAAUGCAUGCAAGUCGCACGCGGCACCUUCGGGUGCUGAGUGGCGAACGGCUGAGGAACACGUGGGGACCUGUCCGGGAGUGGGGGACAACACCGCGAAAGCGGUGCUAAUCCCGCAUACGCCCUGAGGAGGAAAGCCGAAAGGCGCUCCCGGGUGGCCCUGCGGCCCAUCAGGUUGUUGGUAGGGUAAAGGCCUACCAAGCCGAUGACGCAUAGCUGGUCGGUGAGGAUGGUCAGCCAGACUGGGACGGAGCCACGGCCCAGACUCCUACGGGAGGCAGCAGUGGGGAAUAGUGGAGAAGGGGGGAAAGCCUGAUGAAGCAAGGCCGCGUGAGGGAGGAAGGCAUUAGGGUUGGAAAGCUCUUUGACCCGGGAUGAUAAUGACAGUACCGGGAGAAUAAGCUCCGGCUAACUCCGUG
RNAcentral lists this ribosomal RNA (439 nucleotides) under uncultured bacterium. Its description in RNAcentral is "partial 16S ribosomal RNA". It matches the Rfam family "Bacterial small subunit ribosomal RNA", at positions 28 to 507 of the family's 1533-position model. The record is from RNAcentral.